UACGGGGGGAGCAAGCGUUGUUCGGAUUUACUGGGCGUAAAGGGCGCGUAGGCGGCGCAACAAGUCACUUGUGAAAUCUCCGGGCUUAACCCGGAGCGGCCAAGUGAUACUGUCGUGCUAGAGUGCGGAAGGGGCUACUGGAAUUCUCGGUGUAGCGGUGAAAUGCGUAGAGAUCAUGAGGAAGACCAGUGGCGAAGGCGGGUCUCUGGACAGUUCCUGACACUGAGGCACGAAGGCCAGGGGAGCAAACGGG
RNAcentral lists this ribosomal RNA (253 nucleotides) under uncultured bacterium. RNAcentral's name for it is "partial 16S ribosomal RNA". It matches the Rfam family "Bacterial small subunit ribosomal RNA", at positions 524 to 776 of the family's 1533-position model. The record is from RNAcentral.